GGUUUGAUCCUGGCUCAGAUUGAACGCUGGCGGGAUGCUUUACACAUGCAAGUCGAACGGCAGCACGGACUUCGGUCUGGUGGCGAGUGGCGAACGGGUGAGUAAUGUAUCGGAACGUGCCUAGUAGCGGGGGAUAACUACGCGAAAGCGUAGCUAAUACCGCAUACGCCCUUCGGGGAAAGCGGGGACCUUCGGGCCUCGCACUAUUAGAGCGGCCGAUAUCGGAUUAGCUAGUUGGUGGGGUAACGGCUCACCAAGGCGACGAUCCGUAGCCGGUUUUGAGAGGACGACCAGCCACACUGGGACUGAGACACGGCCCAGACUCCUACGGAGGCAGCAGUGGGAAUUUUGGACAAUGGGGGGAAGCCCUGAUCCAGCCAUCCCAAGCGUGUGCGAUGAAGGCCUUCUCGGGUUGUAAAGCACUUUUUGGCAGGAAAGAAACGGCACGGGACACCGUGCAACUGACGGUACCUGCAGAAUAAGCACCGCCAACUACGUGCCAGCAGCCGCGGUAAUACGUAGGUGCAAGCGUUAAUCGGAAUUACUGCUAAAGCGUGGGCAGGCGGUUCGGAAAGAAAGAUGUGAAAUCCCAGAGCUUAACUUUGGAACUGCAUUUUUAACUACCGAGCUAGAGUGUGUCAGGGAGGGAGGUGGAAUUCCGCGUGUAGCAGUGAAAUGCGUAGAUAUGCGGAGGAACACCGAUGGCGAAGGCAGCCUGGGAUAACACUGACGCUCAUGCACGCAAAAGCGUGGGGAGCAAACAGGAUUAGAUACCCUGGUAGUCCACGCCCUAAACGAUGUCAACUAGCUGUUGGGGCCUUUCGCCUUGUAGCGCAGCUAACGCGUGAAGUUGACCGCCUGGGGAGUACGGUCGCAAGAUUAAAACUCAAAGGAAUUGACGGGGACCCGCACAAGCGGUGACAUGGAUUAAUUCGAUGCAACGCGAAAACCUUACCUACCCUUGACAUGUCUGGAAUCCCGAAGAGAUUUGGGAGUGCUCGCAAGAGAACCGGAACACAGGUGCUGCAUGGUUGUCGUCAGCUCGUGUCGUGGGAUGUUGGGUUAAGUCCCGCAACGAGCGCAACCCUUUGUCAUUAGUUGCUACGAAAGGGCACUUCCCACGAGACUGCUGGUGACAAACCGGAGGAAGGUGGGGAUGAUGUCAAGUCCUCAUGGCCCUUAUGGUAGGGCUUCACACGUCAUACAAUGGUCGGGACAGAGGGUCGCCAACCCGCGAGGGGGGAGCCAAUCCCAGAAACCCGAUCGUAGUCCGGAUCGCAGUCUGCAACUCGACUGCGUGAAGUCGGAAUCGCUAGUAAUCGCGGAUCAGCAUGUCGCGGUGAAUACGUUCCCGGGUCUUGUACACACUCGCCCGUCACACCAUGGGAGUGUGGUUUUACCAGAAGUAGUUAGCCUAACCGUAAGGAGGGCGAUUACCACGGUAGGAUUCAUGACUGGGGUGAAGUCGUAACAAGGU
RNAcentral lists this ribosomal RNA (1477 nucleotides) under uncultured Bordetella sp. RNAcentral describes it as "partial 16S-23S ribosomal RNA intergenic spacer". It matches the Rfam family "Bacterial small subunit ribosomal RNA". The record is from RNAcentral. Lineage: Bacteria; Pseudomonadati; Pseudomonadota; Betaproteobacteria; Burkholderiales; Alcaligenaceae.